CUUCAGUGAUGAUACGAUGACGAGUCAGAAAGGACACUUCUUGUGUAAGUGUAGCCUGUUCAGUGCCAUGUUCUUUGGUACUGUGCUUAGGGUACCUUAGCAGAGUGUCCUGUUCAUUGGAUGAUUUAGAGGCAUUUGUCUGAGAAGG
Molecule: small nucleolar RNA, 148 nt
Organism: Chelonoidis abingdonii (Abingdon island giant tortoise)
Lineage: Eukaryota; Metazoa; Chordata; Testudines; Testudinidae
Source: Ensembl